Molecule: ribosomal RNA, 374 nt
Filed under: uncultured organism
Description: partial 16S ribosomal RNA
Rfam family: Bacterial small subunit ribosomal RNA
Source: RNAcentral
GUAGGUGGCAAGCGUUGUCCGGAAUUAUUGGGCGUAAAGCGCGCGCAGGCGGUCCUUUAAGUCUGAUGUGAAAGCCCACGGGCUCAACCGUGGAGGGUCAUUGGAAACUGGGGGACUUGAGUACAGAAGAGGAAAGCGGAAUUCCAAGUGUAGCGGUGAAAUGCGUAGAGAUUUGGAGGAACACCAGUGGCGAAGGCGGCCUUCUGGUCUGUAACUGACGCUGAGGCGCGAAAGCGUGGGGAGCAAACAGGAUUAGAUACCCUGGUAGUCCACGCCGUAAACGAUGAGUGCUAAGUGUUAGGGGGUUUCCGCCCCUUAGUGCUGCAGCUAACGCAUUAAGCACUCCGCCUGGGGAGUACGGCCGCAAAGGCUGA